ACGCAAUAGAUACCCAGGUAGUCCUGGCCGUAAACGAUGACCACCCAGAUGCAUGAAAGAUCGACCCUUUGUGUGUCCAAGCUAACGCGCUAAGUGGUCCGCCUGGGGAGUACGAUCGCAAGAUUAAAACUCAAAGGAAUUGACGGGGACCCGCACAAGCAGCAGAGCGUGUGGUUUAAUUCGAUGCGACGCGCAGAACCUUACCAGGGUUUGACAUGGAUUCGCACCGCCUUGAAAGAGGCGUUCCCGCAAGGGACGUAUCCACAGGUGCUGCAUGGCUGUCGUCAGCUCGUGCCGUGAGGUGUCGGG
This 309-nucleotide ribosomal RNA is filed under the name uncultured bacterium. Its description in RNAcentral is "bacterial SSU rRNA". It matches the Rfam family "Bacterial small subunit ribosomal RNA", at positions 772 to 1079 of the family's 1533-position model. The record is from RNAcentral.